AUCGAUCACCUAGUGAAUUGAAAACCUAGCCUAGAAUAUUCAUAAUUACAGAAUAAAAAACGAAAUUAAUAAAUUGAAAGAAUAGCACCCGUAUGAAAAUUUCUUGAAAUCUUGAAUAAAGCCUUGAAAAUCCGCUUGAAUUCUUGUGGAAUCGGCUUCAAGAUCGUGUUUCUUGCCUCCAAAAGUUGUAAUUUUCUUCUCCCUGGA
This 207-nucleotide long non-coding RNA is filed under the name Olea europaea (common olive). RNAcentral describes it as "long non-coding RNA (OEUR_LNC000180)". The record is from RNAcentral. Lineage: Eukaryota; Viridiplantae; Streptophyta; Magnoliopsida; Lamiales; Oleaceae.